RNAcentral lists this ribosomal RNA (596 nucleotides) under uncultured bacterium. RNAcentral's name for it is "bacterial SSU rRNA". It matches the Rfam family "Bacterial small subunit ribosomal RNA", at positions 338 to 945 of the family's 1533-position model. The record is from RNAcentral.
CCUACGGGAGGCAGCAGUGGGGAAUUUUCCGCAAUGGGCGAAAGCCUGACGGAGCAACGCCGCGUGAGGGAUGAAGGCCUCUGGGCUGUAAACCUCUUUUAUCAAGGAAGAAGAUCUGACGGUACUUGAUGAAUAAGCCACGGCUAAUUCCGUGCCAGCAGCCGCGGUAAUACGGGAGUGGCAAGCGUUAUCCGGAAUUAUUGGGCGUAAAGCGUCCGCAGGCGGUCUUGUAAGUCUGUCGUUAAAGCGUGGAGCUUAACUCCAUUUCGGCGGUGGAAACUACAAGACUAGAGUGUGGUAGGGGCAGAGGGAAUUCCCGGUGUAGCGGUGAAAUGCGUAGAUAUCGGGAAGAACACCAGUGGCGAAGGCGCUCUGCUGGGCCAUAACCUGACGCUCAUGGACGAAAGCUAGGGGAGCGAAAGGGAUUAGAUACCCCUGUAGUCCUAGCCGUAAACGAUGAACACUAGGUGUCGGGGGUAAUCGACCCCCUCGGUGUACGUAGCUAACGCGUUAAGUGUUCCGCCUGGGAAGUCGCACGCAAGUGUGAAACUCAAANANAUAGACGNGNGAGACGNGCGAGACGACGACGAGGAGAG